GAUUUACUCAUCAGGGGGAGAGUGCUGCCACAUCAAUGGGUUAAAAAAACAUUCAAAUAAAAUGUUUGGCAGAAGCUGCAAAAUUGUAUAUUGGUGUCUGGUGUGAUACUGACAUUUCUUUUAUUUGUAAGGAUAGAGCUGGGGAGCUUCUAGUGUUACAGUCUUGGCCCCACCCCAGUUUUCCUGUACUGCAUGUGUUUUCCUCACUUCCCUGAUCGUAGUAUAAGUGUUAAUUGGUAUACCAUGGACACCAUCUUAUCAGUUCUGCAGUUUUUUGACAAUCUAUGUAUGGUUUUCAUGAUUUUCAGUGUAUAGUCUUCCCCAACCUUGUACCUAGGGUUCUCUUUGUACAAAGAGAACCCUGGGUAAUGAGGUUGAGUCUUCCCUUGCUCAUCACAAAUUAAUAAAAAGAUCACACACUACAUAAUUGAUGUUUAUAAAAUUUAUUUAUUUUAAUUAAAAUCGAAAAGAUAUUAACAUAAUAUUAAUA
Non-coding RNA from Paramuricea clavata, 490 nucleotides. The record is from the annotation of a GenBank genome assembly. Lineage: Eukaryota; Metazoa; Cnidaria; Anthozoa; Malacalcyonacea; Plexauridae.